Molecule: long non-coding RNA, 439 nt
Organism: Mauremys reevesii (Reeves's turtle)
Lineage: Eukaryota; Metazoa; Chordata; Testudines; Geoemydidae
Exons: 4
Source: RefSeq, a predicted model, not a curated record
CUCCAGUUGUGAAACCCUCAGGCCUUUAAUUCACUUUGUGAUAAGAGGGUCAUUGAGUAUUGCUGAGACUCAGAAGCAUCUUCAUUGGCUGGAUUAGGGGAUUGCAUUAUCCUGAAUUAAUAUUGACUGAUGAAAAGAAGCUCAAAGCAAGAGAUUCUCCCUCCACGUAUGAGAGGCUUGGCAGUGCUAGAGCCCUGGAUGGAAAGACAGCCCUGACAAUGAUUACACUGAAUAAAUACCAGCCCUGCAGAAAGCAAAAAUAGAAAUUGCAGCAGUGGAAGCCCCAAACCAUGUCAAAACACACCGCUUCACUGGAUUUGUGCUGAAAAAAAUGAGGGAUGCUGUGAACUAAACAAAUCAGUGGAGGUGUCCACAGCCAAGUAAUCGGUGCUCUCUCUGUACUGCUUCACACUGGGCUAAGCUAUGUAUCACACUCAAC